CAGAUCGAUCAAAUAAUUGACCCUGUUGUUGAUUCAACUUACAAGGAUAUUUGGAUGUCAACUGCAAAGACAAAUACGGCCAUUUACCAAGAUGUCUUUUCUUGCAUACCUAAUGAUCUGAUACAUACGAGAGCUGCACUCAGACAAAGCACGGCCUUCUGAAAGGAGAAACUUGGCCAUUCUAUAAU
Molecule: long non-coding RNA, 188 nt
Organism: Alnus glutinosa
Lineage: Eukaryota; Viridiplantae; Streptophyta; Magnoliopsida; Fagales; Betulaceae
Exons: 3
Source: RefSeq, a predicted model, not a curated record